RNAcentral lists this ribosomal RNA (328 nucleotides) under uncultured bacterium. RNAcentral describes it as "bacterial SSU rRNA". It matches the Rfam family "Bacterial small subunit ribosomal RNA", at positions 1050 to 1378 of the family's 1533-position model. RNAcentral also lists the same sequence under 1 other name. The record is from RNAcentral.
UGUCGUCAGCUCGUGUCGUGAGAUGUUGGGUUAAGUCCCGCAACGAGCGCAACCCUUGUCCUGCGUUGCCAGCGGUUCGGCCGGGGACUCACAGGAGACUGCCGGUGACAAACCGGAGGAAGGUGGGGACGACGUCAAGUCAUCAUGCCCCUUAUGUCCUGGGCUGCACACGCGCUACAAUGGCCGGUACAGAGGGCUGCGAAUCCGCGAGGUGGAGCCAAUCUCCUAAAGCCGGUCUAAGUUCGGAUUGGAGGCUGAAACUCGCCUCCAUGAAGUCGGAGUCGCUAGUAAUCGCGGAUCAGAACGCCGCGGUGAAUACGUUCCCGGG